This 460-nucleotide ribosomal RNA is filed under the name uncultured bacterium. RNAcentral's name for it is "partial 16S ribosomal RNA". It matches the Rfam family "Bacterial small subunit ribosomal RNA", at positions 338 to 795 of the family's 1533-position model. The record is from RNAcentral.
CCUACGGGAGGCAGCAGUGAGGAAUAUUGGUCAAUGGACGAGAGUCUGAACCAGCCAAGUAGCGUGAAGGAUGACUGCCCUAUGGGUUGUAAACUUCUUUUAUAAAGGAAUAAAACGAGGCACGUGUGCCUUUUUGCAUGUACUUUAUGAAUAAGGAUCGGCUAACUCCGUGCCAGCAGCCGCGGUAAUACGGAGGAUCCGAGCGUUAUCCGGAUUUAUUGGGUGUAAAGGGAGCGUAGAUGGGUUGUUAAGUCAGUUGUGAAAGUUUGCGGCUCAACCGGAAAAUUGCAAUUGAUACUGGCAGUCUUGAGUACAGUUGAGGUAGGCGGAAUUCGUGGUGUAGCGGUGAAAUGCUUAGAUAUCGCGAAGAACUCCGAUUGCGAAGGCAGCUUACUAAACUGCCACUGACAUUGAUGCUCGAAAGUGUGGGGAUCAAACAGGAUUAGAUACCCCAGUAGUC